RNAcentral lists this ribosomal RNA (253 nucleotides) under uncultured bacterium. RNAcentral's name for it is "partial 16S ribosomal RNA". It matches the Rfam family "Bacterial small subunit ribosomal RNA", at positions 524 to 776 of the family's 1533-position model. The record is from RNAcentral.
UACAGAGGUGGCAAGCGUUGUUCGGAAUUACUGGGCGUAAAGGGCGCGUAGGCGGUCUUGUAAGUCUCGUGUGAAAUCCCUCGGCUUAACUGAGGAACUGCACGGGAUACUGCUUGACUUGAGUUCGGGAGAGGGAAGCGGAAUUCCGGGUGUAGCGGUGAAAUGCGUAGAUAUCCGGAGGAACACCGGUGGCGAAGGCGGCUUCCUGGACCGACACUGACGCUGAGGAGCGAAAGCCAGGGGAGCAAACGGG